Molecule: transfer RNA, 77 nt
Filed under: Azospirillum sp.
Lineage: Bacteria; Pseudomonadati; Pseudomonadota; Alphaproteobacteria; Rhodospirillales; Azospirillaceae
Also listed under: 3 other names
Description: tRNA-Arg
Rfam family: tRNA
About the family: Transfer RNA (tRNA) molecules are approximately 80 nucleotides in length. Their secondary structure includes four short double-helical elements and three loops (D, anti-codon, and T loops).
Source: RNAcentral
GCACUCGUAGCUCAAUUGGAUAGAGCAUCUGACUACGGAUCAGAAGGUUGUGAGUUCGAAUCCCGCCGAGUGCGCCA